This is a non-coding RNA of Salmo salar (Atlantic salmon), 59 nucleotides long. The record is from Rfam. NCBI's taxonomy places the organism in Eukaryota, Metazoa, Chordata, Actinopteri, Salmoniformes, Salmonidae.
UGCACUCAUGACUGUAAGUCGCUUUGGAUAAAAAAAAAGUGUCUGCUAAAUAGCACAUA